UACGUAGGUGGCAAGCGUUGUCCGGAAUUAUUGGGCGUAAAGCGCGCGCAGGCGGUCCUUUAAGUCUGAUGUGAAAUCACGUGGCUCAACCACGUGCGGUCAUUGGAAACUGGGAAACUUGAGUGCAGGAGAGGAAAGUGGAAUUCCAAGUGUAGCGGUGGAAUGCGUAGAUAUUUGGAGGAACACCAGUGGCGAAGGCGACUUUCUGGUCUGUAACUGACACUGAGGCUCGAAAGCGUGGGGAGCGAACAGGAUUAGAUACCCU
This 265-nucleotide ribosomal RNA is filed under the name uncultured prokaryote. RNAcentral describes it as "partial 16S ribosomal RNA". It matches the Rfam family "Bacterial small subunit ribosomal RNA", at positions 524 to 788 of the family's 1533-position model. The record is from RNAcentral.